UACAGAGGUGGCAAGCGUUGUUCGGAAUUACUGGGCGUAAAGGGCGCGUAGGCGGUCCGAUAAGUCCUGUGUGAAAUCCCUCGGCUCAACUGAGGAACUGCACGGGAGACUGUCGGGCUUGAGUUCGGGAGAGGGAAGCGGAAUUCCGGGUGUAGCGGUGGAAUGCGUAGAGAUCAGGUGGAACACCGAUGGCGAAGGCAGCAUCCUGGCCGGAGACUGACGCUGAGGCGCGACAGCGUGGGGAGCAAACAGG
This 253-nucleotide ribosomal RNA is filed under the name uncultured bacterium. Its description in RNAcentral is "partial 16S ribosomal RNA". It matches the Rfam family "Bacterial small subunit ribosomal RNA", at positions 524 to 776 of the family's 1533-position model. The record is from RNAcentral.